RNAcentral lists this transfer RNA (72 nucleotides) under Marmota marmota marmota (Alpine marmot). It matches the Rfam family "tRNA". From Rfam's summary of the family: Transfer RNA (tRNA) molecules are approximately 80 nucleotides in length. Their secondary structure includes four short double-helical elements and three loops (D, anti-codon, and T loops). Lineage: Eukaryota; Metazoa; Chordata; Mammalia; Rodentia; Sciuridae. RNAcentral also lists the same sequence under 3 other names. The record is from Rfam by way of RNAcentral.
GGCAAUGUGGCUCAGUGGUAAAGCAUUUGCCUAGCAUGAAUAAGAUCCUGGGUUCAAUCCCCAGCAUUUUGG